CCUACGGGAGGCAGCAGUAGGGAAUCUUCCACAAUGGACGAAAGUCUGAUGGAGCAACGCCGCGUGAGUGAUGAAGGUUUUCGGAUCGUAAAACUCUGUUGUAAGGGAAGAACAAGUACGAGAGGUAAUGCUCGUACCUUGACGGUACCUUGCGAGAAAGCCACGGCUAACUACGUGCCAGCAGCCGCGGUAAUACGUAGGUGGCAAGCGUUGUCCGGAAUUAUUGGGCGUAAAGCGCGCGCAGGCGGCCUUUUAAGUCUGAUGUGAAAGCCCCCGGCUCAACCGGGGAGGGUCAUUGGAAACUGGAAGGCUUGAGUACAGAAGAGAAGAGUGGAAUUCCAUGUGUAGCGGUGAAAUGCGUAGAGAUGUGGAGGAACACCAGUGGCGAAGGCGACUCUUUGGUCUGUAACUGACGCUGAGGCGCGAAAGCGUGGGGAGCAAACAGGAUUAGAUACCCUGGUAGUCCACGCCGUAAACGAUGAGUGCUAGGUGUUGGGGGGUUUCCGCCCGUCAGUGCUGAAGCUAACGCAUUAAGCACNCCGCCGUCGGGAGGUACGGCCGGCCGACGGCGNGAACGUACAAAGUAGUAAGUUAGUACGGCGUGAGACGUAGCCGACGGACGACGACGAGGGGAGGAGGG
RNAcentral lists this ribosomal RNA (640 nucleotides) under uncultured bacterium. RNAcentral's name for it is "bacterial SSU rRNA". The stretch from base 1 to 544 matches the Rfam family "Bacterial small subunit ribosomal RNA", at positions 338 to 873 of the family's 1533-position model. The record is from RNAcentral.